UAAUACGUAGGGUGCAAGCGUUGUCCGGAAUUAUUGGGCGUAAAGAGCUCGUAGGCGGUCUGUCGCGUCGGCUGUGAAAACUCGGGGCUCAACUCCGAGCUUGCAGUCGAUACGGGCAGGCUAGAGUUCGGCAGGGGAGACUGGAAUUCCUGGUGUAGCGGUGAAAUGCGCAGAUAUCAGGAGGAACACCGGUGGCGAAGGCGGGUCUCUGGGCCGAUACUGACGCUGAGGAGCGAAAGCGUGGGGAGCGAACAGGAUUAGAUACCCUGGUAGUCCACGCCGUAAACGAUGGGUGCUAGGUGUGGGAGGUGUCGACUCCUUCCGUGCCGUAGCUAACGCAUUAAGCACCCCGCCUGGGGAGUACGGCCGCAAGGCUA
This 377-nucleotide ribosomal RNA is filed under the name uncultured bacterium. RNAcentral's name for it is "bacterial SSU rRNA". It matches the Rfam family "Bacterial small subunit ribosomal RNA", at positions 521 to 896 of the family's 1533-position model. The record is from RNAcentral.